AGAUAGCUAGAUUUGCGUUAGGGAUUGAUGCGGCAUCCUUUUUGUGCUUUUGUAAAUGGCACAAAAAGAUACAGCGGAAAGCCCGCUCGAAC
Molecule: small RNA, 92 nt
Filed under: Psychroflexus salarius
Lineage: Bacteria; Pseudomonadati; Bacteroidota; Flavobacteriia; Flavobacteriales; Flavobacteriaceae
Description: Flavo-1 RNA
Rfam family: Flavo-1 RNA
Source: Rfam by way of RNAcentral